This is a long non-coding RNA of Oreochromis niloticus (Nile tilapia), 852 nucleotides long. RefSeq lists it as uncharacterized. The record is from RefSeq and is a predicted model, not a curated record. The transcript is spliced from 5 exons. Lineage: Eukaryota; Metazoa; Chordata; Actinopteri; Cichliformes; Cichlidae.
AAAGGCUUCAAGCUAACAAGCUAGCUUCAGUGCACAGCAGAGUGAUUUCAAGUUCCUGAAAAUGCAGAACAUAUGCUUACAAACGUGCAGCGUUUUGGAGACAUGAGGUAACUGGACUUCUGCUUGGAUAAAGUGGUGGGGCCAAACUUCCCCUGAGGUUUUCAUUUGUGAGACGACAGACAGCUUCUCACCCAGGUACUCUGAAAUGUUGAUCAGCACACAAGCAUAGACAGCAGUCAGGAACAAACCUCGUCGUCCACCGAGAAAAACUCCACCAUGCAGGCAUCAAGCUGAGGGGAGACCAAGAUACACACCUACAGGAGGACCUACAGGAGGAUGGGUCCAUGUCCCUUCUUCAAGCUGCACCCCAACAGGCCCCAUAGGCUGAGGCCCAGCUACCACUCUGUAACUCUGUCCCAGCAGGUCUACCCAGUCUGCUGCCUCUGUGAAGUGAUGGGAUGUGUGAUGAGCGGGCUUUGUGUCACGAUCCAUUUGCAGUGUGAAGCAGAGAGCGUAGUCCUGCCCACAGCAGAGUUCAUCCUGGUACUUCUGUCACCUGUCACACCUCCAACAAACAGCAGAGAUCAUAGAAGCUGCACAUGCUGACGGUGUAACACGCCUGCACCGUGCUGGAUGGAUGAUGCAGCGUACAUCGGAUCAUCAGCUCUUUAUCUCCUUCUCCAAAAUGUUCUUUUCCAAGCAUUACUUUAAGUUCAUCUUCAGUUUAUUUAGACAAACAGUGCUUUUGUCUUUACAGAAUGCAGAAAAAACUCUUUUACAUGUUUUCUGGUAAUAUACUUUAUAUAUUAUUUAUUGUAAUAUAUGUUUUAAGCUGAGUUUGUCAGAGAAUAA